Molecule: long non-coding RNA, 423 nt
Organism: Girardinichthys multiradiatus
Lineage: Eukaryota; Metazoa; Chordata; Actinopteri; Cyprinodontiformes; Goodeidae
Exons: 3
Source: RefSeq, a predicted model, not a curated record
GUGGAAGUCACAUGGGUCAUGGAGCUGCUAAUAGUUCCAAAUACCAGCAGCUCCAGCAUUGGACGUAGUUCAUUCUUGGUGUUUUAGAAGGAUGUUUUUACAGUAAACCACACGAGAAUGGCUUAAAUCAACUGCUGAACCUUGUUGCAUACAAAGCACCACAAAGGAGGUCAGCAGAUGUGGUGACUGACUUCAAAGGGAGCUGCUGACAAUGAUGCCAAGGAGGAUGAACCCUCAUUUGGACUGUGGCACAUUUCUACCUUGUCCAGAUUUGAUCAGAUACAGUUUAUUGGUGCAGACCUACAGGGGUUGGACAAUGAAACUGAAACACCUGUCAUUUUAGUGUGGGAGGUUUCAUGGCUAAAUUGGACCAGCCUGGUAGCCAGUCUUCAUUGAUUGCACAUUACACCAGUAAGAGCAGAG